Molecule: long non-coding RNA, 1995 nt
Organism: Ceratina calcarata
Lineage: Eukaryota; Metazoa; Arthropoda; Insecta; Hymenoptera; Apidae
Exons: 5
Source: RefSeq, a predicted model, not a curated record
AAUGAUCUCAAACGGAAGCUAAGUGAUCACAAGAAUUAAUACAAGUACAGAAGAAUCAUUAUGAAUCAUCAUAUGCUGUAACGUUUCGGUAGUUCUUGUGCCGAAUGUCCUGACACCGAUGAAGUCUUCCAUGUGUCUAAUCCCUUAUGAAGAUGCCGCAAAAAUAUGAUCACUGUUAUCAUCUUUAUCUCCUUAAAGAGUUGAUAUCCUCGCUGUACGUAGCGUACACAAGCAGAUUACGUAGGCAGACAUUCUAUAGUAUCGUAGACAUGUGCAUGUAUUAUGUAGAUAAAGACAAACGCAUGUGCAUCGAGCGAGAACUAUACAUAUACAUGUAGUUAAUCGCGCGUUACGCGCAGUUAUUCUCAGGAGGCUAGACUGGGUAGAUGCUAUAGCUACAUAACGCGCAGAUUAUAGAAGAACGAGGGGCGAAGAAGAGCGAGGAGGACCGUGCGCAACCAAGGAAAUAUUGCGAAUGGUCAGAGCCUUGCUGAUUCUAUUGGCAACCGUCACUAAAACGGUUUCGACGAUAAUUAAAUCGUUAUGCCAAUUAGCCGAAUGCAUGCUGUAGCUGUAUACACGCGGUGCAUAAACUUGUUCCAUUCGACAGAGGGAGAUAAAGCAGUCGCAAAAAUACACGAACGCUGUCUACAUAUGGAUGCGACUGUCUUGGAAUCAGGCGAAGAUCGUAUAGGUCGCUGCUGAUGCAGAAGACUCGCGAGUUGCAUGGCACGAUCGUAGGAAUAACAUAUGUAGGAGAAAGGAAGGAUGAUAGCUGCGAACCAGUGCACGACGCUGCGGAGGAGCCGGGAUAGCAUAAAUCCUUGCGGCGCGUAUUCCCGGCACGGAGAUGAUUUUCCCAGGACAUAGUACACGGGUGAACGAGAUGAGUGGGCCAAUGUUACAUACAAAAGCACUAAGUCGAGAAGGGAAAGCGAUUGCAUAAUAAAUGCUGUAGUAAGAAUAGGCGCCCUUCCAAAAAUCAGUUGAUGGCCAGAUGCCGGUCUCGGAAAGGGAAAACCUUGUAAAUAAAAACUUGUAAAUGAAGCUUCUCCUGGUAUCGAGCCGCAGCCAACCGGCUGUUUUACAACUAGGAUUGGGAUGUGACACAACCUUUGUAUACAUUUCAUCGAUACAUGCAGAACGUGUGGGCGUUUAAAAAGGUGUGGGAAAGGCUGUCAGUUUAUUUUACGUAUGUAUACAUAGUGUAUAUUAUCUUGUGCCGCGCCGUAUCGGCUUAGCACCUGCGUGCGACUCCUUCCCCAUUUCUUUUUUAUUUCCAUCUCGUAAACAGGUGCUUCCAAUUUUUAGUAUUUUACGGUGAUGAAACACGCCGGUGUAGCUUACAAUCAGAGGGAGUCCGAAUUAGAGUGCGUAGAAAGUAGAAUAGCGUCUUAUAUUUGCCUUUAACAUAACGUAGGCAUUAUGCACACGCGUGUAUCUACGAGAGUUGAAUGGUGUUGGUCCGGACACGAUCCAAAGAUUCGUGCCACGUGCAGAAACCGGUUUAUUAUUUCGUUUUCGGUUAUUUUCUACGACCUAACGCUGCUCUUUAAAUUUUCGACUCAGAGGAGAAAUCUAUUAAUUUCGUAUAAAAACAAUUAACGUCGAUUCGUGCAUCGGUGAGUCUGGUAUUUCAAUGGUUUAAUGAUAGAUCAUCGAGUCAUUUCUAUCGUUCUAUUAAUAAACGAAUGCAUUUCGUGAUACGAAUUGUCGCUUGAAUGACGCGAAUGAUGUAACGUCGAUUAUUAUGAAAUCUAUGCGUAAGUUGGAACUUUUCUGAUGCAUUAAGAUUCACCAAGACACAGCAACUAUGCACAUACGUAAAAUUAAGAUGUACAUAGAUAGAUGACAGAGGGAAUACAUUAUAUUUAAACAGUGCAAGUGCUUUUGUCCGGUUAAUCAUAUUCUUAUGAAUUAAUUCCACGCUUAAGGAUGUAUUGGCUAUACAGUCAAUCCCAAAGGUUUAUGCACUUUAGAAACGCAUUUUGUAAA